This 318-nucleotide unclassified non-coding RNA is filed under the name uncultured fungus. RNAcentral describes it as "partial contains 5.8S ribosomal RNA, internal transcribed spacer 2, and large subunit ribosomal RNA". The record is from RNAcentral. Lineage: Eukaryota; Fungi.
AACGCACCUUGCGCCUUGUGGUAUUCCACGAGGCAUGCCCGUUUGAGUGUCAUUAAUUCAUCAACCUCAAAAUUUCUUUUGAACUUUCGAGGCUUGGUCUUGAGGGUUUGCGGGCUCUAGUAGUCAGCUCCCUUUAAAUCUAUUAGCGAGACUUCCCUCUGCUGACCGUCUCCGGCGUGAUAAUUAUCUACGUCGUUGUUGCGGUUCUCAUUGGGCUUGCUUCUAAUCGUCUUCGGACAACAGGAUUGAAGUGCAUAUAUGCGCCUCUUUUCGAACUAUUUUGACCUCAGAUCGGGUAGGACUACCCGCUGAACUUAA